UGAGACAGGUGCUGCAUGGCUGUCGUCAGCUCGUGUUGUGAAAUGUUGGGUUAAGUCCCGCAACGAGCGCAACCCUUAUCCUUUGUUGCCAGCGAUUCGGUCGGGAACUCAAAGGAGACUGCCGGUGAUAAACCGGAGGAAGGUGGGGAUGACGUCAAGUCAUCAUGGCCCUUACGAGUAGGGCUACACACGUGCUACAAUGGCGCAUACAAAGAGAAGCGACCUCGCGAGAGCAAGCGGACCUCACAAAGUGCGUCGUAGUCCGGAUCGGAGUCUGCAACUCGACUCCGUGAAGUCGGAAUCGCUAGUAAUCGUGGAUCAGAAUGCCACGGUGAAUAC
This 339-nucleotide ribosomal RNA is filed under the name Pantoea sp. Its description in RNAcentral is "bacterial SSU rRNA". It matches the Rfam family "Bacterial small subunit ribosomal RNA", at positions 1030 to 1369 of the family's 1533-position model. The record is from RNAcentral. Lineage: Bacteria; Pseudomonadati; Pseudomonadota; Gammaproteobacteria; Enterobacterales; Erwiniaceae.